UCCGUAGGUGAACCUGCGGAAGGAUCAUUAUUGAGUAAACCUGAUGUGGCUGUUAGCUGACUUAGGCGAUGUGCUCGUCGCAUCAUCUUUAUAUCUCCACSUGUGCACAUUUUGUAGACUUGGAUAAUGGCUCUGUCAUUUACAAGACUAUGUUUUCAAUAUACCCAAAGCAUGUUUAAAGAAUGUCACCAAUAGGAACUUGUUUCCUAUUAGAAACUAUACAACUUUCAGCAACGGAUCUCUUGGCUCUCGCAUCGAUGAAGAACGCAGCGAAAUGCGUUAAGUAAUGUGAAUUGCAGAAUUCAGUGAAUCAUCGAAUCUUUGAACGCACCUUGCGCUCCUUGGUAUUCCGAGGAGCAUGCCUGUUUGAGUGUCAUUAAAUUCUCAACCAUCCAUUAAUUUGGUUUGGCUUGGAUGUGGGGGUUGCAGGCUUCAUUUGACUAUGAGGUCAGCUCUCCUUAAAUGCAUUAGUGGAACUUUUGUUGACCAUCUAUUGGUGUGAUAUCUAUCUACACUGUGGAUGAGUUAGCGGUGUUCAGCUUCUAACCGUCUAUUAUUGACUUACUUGACCAUUUGACCUCAAAUCAGGUAGGACUACCCGCUGAACUUAAGCAUAUCAAUAAGCGGAGGA
Molecule: ribosomal RNA, 631 nt
Filed under: ectomycorrhiza of Salix reinii
Lineage: Eukaryota; Fungi
Description: eukaryotic LSU rRNA
Rfam family: 5.8S ribosomal RNA (bases 223-376)
Source: RNAcentral